ACGCGUCUUGGUUAAUGAUGUUAGGUGCUUGCAUUUAACUGAUUCCCUUUGAGACGAGUGGCGAACUGGUGAGUAACACGUGGGUCCCCUGCCCUGAAGUGGGGGAUAACACUUGGAAACAGGUGCUAAUACCGCAUAACAACGAAAACCACAUGGUUUUCGUUUGAAAGAUGGCUUCGGCUGUCACUUUUGGAUGGACCCGCGGCGUAUUAGCUUGUUGGUGAGGUAACGACUCACCAAGGCCAUGAUACGUAGCCGACCUGAGAGGGUAAUCGGCCACAUUGGGACUGAGACACGGCCCAAACUCCUACGGGAGGCAGCAGUAGGGAAUCUUCCACAAUGGACGAAAGUCUGAUGGAGCAACGCCGCGUGAGUGAUGAAGGGUUUCGGCUCGUAAAACUCUGUUGUUGGAGAAGAACAGGUGAUAGAGUAACUGUUAUCAUCUUGACGGUAUCCAACCAGAAAGCCACGGCUAACUACGUGCCAGCAGCCGCGGUAAUACGUAGGUGGCAAGCGUUGUCCGGAUUUAUUGGGCGUAAAGCGAGCGCAGGCGGUUUUUUAGGUCUGAUGUGAAAGCCUUCGGCUUAACCGGAGAAGGGCAUCGGAAACCGGGAGACUUGAGUGCAGAAGAGGACAGUGGAACUCCAUGUGUAGCGGUGAAAUGCGUAGAUAUAUGGAAGAACACCAGUGGCGAAGGCGGCUGU
RNAcentral lists this ribosomal RNA (704 nucleotides) under uncultured bacterium. RNAcentral's name for it is "bacterial SSU rRNA". It matches the Rfam family "Bacterial small subunit ribosomal RNA", at positions 37 to 728 of the family's 1533-position model. The record is from RNAcentral.